GAUAAUAUAGUUCAAUGGUAGAAUGAUGCUUAUGCAUAGAUCUGGGUUCAAAUCCCAGUAUUAUCA
This 66-nucleotide transfer RNA is filed under the name Caudoviricetes sp. Its description in RNAcentral is "tRNA-OTHER". It matches the Rfam family "tRNA". Rfam says of the family: Transfer RNA (tRNA) molecules are approximately 80 nucleotides in length. Their secondary structure includes four short double-helical elements and three loops (D, anti-codon, and T loops). Further hydrogen bonds mediate the characteristic L-shaped molecular structure. tRNAs have two regions of fundamental functional importance: the anti-codon, which is responsible for specific mRNA codon recognition, and the 3' end, to which the tRNAs corresponding amino acid is attached (by aminoacyl-tRNA synthetases). tRNAs cope with the degeneracy of the genetic code in two manners: having more than one tRNA (with a specific anti-codon) for a particular amino acid; and 'wobble' base-pairing, i.e. permitting non-standard base-pairing at the 3rd anti-codon position. The record is from RNAcentral. Lineage: Duplodnaviria; Heunggongvirae; Uroviricota; Caudoviricetes.